UACGUAGGGGGCAAGCGUUGUCCGGAUUUACUGGGCGUAAAGAGCGUGUAGGCGGCCAAGCAGGUCUGUUGUAAAAACUGGAGGCUCAACCUCCAGACGUCGACAGAAACCGCUUGGCUAGAGUCCGGAAGAGGAGAGUGGAAUUCCUGGUGUAGCGGUGAAAUGCGCAGAUAUCAGGAAGAACACCAAUGGCGAAGGCAGCUCUCUGGGACGGUACUGACGCUGAGACGCGAAAGCGUGGGGAGCGAACAGG
Molecule: ribosomal RNA, 253 nt
Filed under: uncultured bacterium
Lineage: Bacteria
Description: partial 16S ribosomal RNA
Rfam family: Bacterial small subunit ribosomal RNA
Source: RNAcentral